This 497-nucleotide ribosomal RNA is filed under the name uncultured bacterium. RNAcentral describes it as "partial 16S ribosomal RNA". It matches the Rfam family "Bacterial small subunit ribosomal RNA", at positions 28 to 507 of the family's 1533-position model. The record is from RNAcentral.
GAUGAACGCUGGCGGCGUGCCUAAUACAUGCAAGUCGAGCGAACAGACGAGGAGCUUGCUCCUCUGACGUUAGCGGCGGACGGGUGAGUAACACGUGGAUAACCUACCUAUAAGACUGGGAUAACUUCGGGAAACCGGAGCUAAUACCGGAUAAUAUAUUGAACCGCAAGGUUCAAUAGUGAAAUACGGUUUUGCUGUAACUUAUAGAUGGAUCCGCGCCGCAUUAGCUAGUUGGUAAGGUAACGGCUUACCAAGGCAACGAUGCGUAGCCGACCUGAGAGGGUGAUCGGCCACACUGGAACUGAGACACGGUCCAGACUCCUACGGGAGGCAGCAGUAGGGAAUCUUCCGCAAUGGGCGAAAGCCUGACGGAGCAACGCCGCGUGAGUGAUGAAGGUCUUCGGAUCGUAAAACUCUGUUAUUAGGGAAGAACAAAUGUGUAAGUAACUAUGCACGUCUUGACGGUACCUAAUCAGAAAGCCACGGCUAACUACGUG